Molecule: transfer RNA, 86 nt
Filed under: Streptomyces sp. NBRC 14336
Lineage: Bacteria; Bacillati; Actinomycetota; Actinomycetes; Kitasatosporales; Streptomycetaceae
Description: tRNA-Pro
Source: RNAcentral
CUGCCAUGUCGCUCAGCCGGUGCGCGCCCGCGCCCUAGGGUGGCGCGCGACGAUCGAGGGGGCGGUUCGAUGACAUCCAUGGCCGA